This 282-nucleotide long non-coding RNA is filed under the name Capsella grandiflora. RNAcentral's name for it is "long non-coding RNA (CGRA_LNC001337)". Lineage: Eukaryota; Viridiplantae; Streptophyta; Magnoliopsida; Brassicales; Brassicaceae. The record is from RNAcentral.
AUGAAUAUCAAAGAACCCUAAUUCAGAUUCCAAUCAAACCCCCAGCCGGUGACGAGACGCUUCGGUCGGCAAACCAACGCUUCGGUCGGCAAACAAACGUUUCGGUCGCUAUCGGAGAUACGACCAGCUGGUGACGAGAUUUCGCCGGUUAAGUUUCGGUGGCUGUUGUGCUAGCUCUGAAAUCGACCCAUCAAUCCGGAUUUCUUCUCGUCGCCAUCGGAGAGAAACAAGAUAGAAAGGAGAGAAAGAGAGAAGAGAGAGAAAGUGAGAAAGAGAUUUCAU